RNAcentral lists this long non-coding RNA (231 nucleotides) under Brassica napus (rape). RNAcentral describes it as "long non-coding RNA (BNAP_LNC010117)". Lineage: Eukaryota; Viridiplantae; Streptophyta; Magnoliopsida; Brassicales; Brassicaceae. The record is from RNAcentral.
GAUUUGUUUGAGUACUAUGAUUGUUUUUUUUUUGCUUUAUUACAUUGGUGUUUUGGUUAAGACAAUAUGAAAGUCCAAUUGCUUUUCUUUUUGUUAUCAACAAAGUGAAUGUUGCUUUUCUAAACUACAUAUAACCGUAAUGGUGUUUGGUCGUGUAUAAAAGAAAUGUGUAAGAGUAUAAAAUUUUGUAUCCAAGUCGCUUAAGCACAUCAAUAUUACGCAGAGGCAUUA